RNAcentral lists this ribosomal RNA (491 nucleotides) under uncultured bacterium. Its description in RNAcentral is "partial 16S ribosomal RNA". It matches the Rfam family "Bacterial small subunit ribosomal RNA", at positions 29 to 507 of the family's 1533-position model. The record is from RNAcentral.
GUGAACGCUGGCGGUAGGCCUAACACAUGCAAGUCGAACGGCAGCACAGUAAGAGCUUGCUCUUACGGGUGGCGAGUGGCGGACGGGUGAGGAAUACAUCGGAAUCUACUUUUUCGUGGGGGGUAACGUAGGGAAACUUACGCUAAUACCGCAUACGACCUACGGGUGAAAGCAGGGGAUCUUCGGACCUUGCGCGAUUGAAUGAGCCGAUGUCGGAUUAGCUAGUUGGCGGGGUAAAGGCCCACCAAGGCGACGAUCCGUAGCUGGUCUGAGAGGAUGAUCAGCCACACUGGAACUGAGACACGGUCCAGACUCCUACGGGAGGCAGCAGUGGGGAAUAUUGGACAAUGGGCGCAAGCCUGAUCCAGCCAUACCGCGUGGGUGAAGAAGGCCUUCGGGUUGUAAAGCCCUUUUGUUGGGAAAGAAAAGCAGCAGGUUAAUACCCCGCUGUUCUGACGGUACCCAAAGAAUAAGCACCGGCUAACUUCGUG